This 324-nucleotide ribosomal RNA is filed under the name uncultured Bacillota bacterium. RNAcentral describes it as "bacterial SSU rRNA". It matches the Rfam family "Bacterial small subunit ribosomal RNA", at positions 28 to 351 of the family's 1533-position model. Lineage: Bacteria; Bacillati; Bacillota. The record is from RNAcentral.
GACGAACGCUGGCGGCGUGCCUAACACAUGCAAGUCGAACGGAGAUACGAUUUCGGUUGUAUCUUAGUGGCGAACGGGUGAGUAACGCGUGAGCAACCUGACUCUUAGAGGGGGAUAACACUCGGAAACGGGUGCUAAUACCGCAUAAGACCACGACAUGGCAUCAUGACGAGGUCAAAGGAGCAAUCCGCUGAGAGAGGGGCUCGCGUCCCAUUAGAUAGAUGGCGGGGUAACGGCCCACCAUGUCAGCGAUGGGUAGCCGAGCUGAGAGGCUGAUCGGCCACACUGGAACUGAGACACGGUCCAGACUCCUACGGGUGGCAG